Molecule: ribosomal RNA, 253 nt
Filed under: uncultured bacterium
Lineage: Bacteria
Description: partial 16S ribosomal RNA
Rfam family: Bacterial small subunit ribosomal RNA
Source: RNAcentral
UACGUAGGGGGCAAGCGUUGUCCGGAAUCAUUGGGCGUAAAGCGCGCGUAGGCGGCCCGGUAAGUCCGUUGUGAAAGUCAAAGGCUCAACCUUUGAACGCCGAUGGAUACUGCCGGGCUAGAGUCCGGAAGAGGCAAGUGGAAUUCCUGGUGUAGCGGUGGAAUGCGCAGAUAUCAGGAGGAACACCUAUAGCGAAGGCAGCUUGCUGGGACGAAACUGACGCUAAGGCGCGAAAGCGUGGGGAGCGAACAGG